Molecule: long non-coding RNA, 259 nt
Filed under: Olea europaea subsp. europaea
Lineage: Eukaryota; Viridiplantae; Streptophyta; Magnoliopsida; Lamiales; Oleaceae
Source: RNAcentral
AGCCUACUUUUUUUUUCUUUGGGAACUAUUCCAACUGCUUUUUUUCGGUUCUACCUUUUUUGGGUCUGUUUCAUUUUCUUUGCUUAGAUGUCUAAACUUUGAAGGCUGGCAUUCUUGAAUUUAAUUUGCGUGUACUCUGGGGCUUCCUCAUUAGUGUGUGAAAGAGAGUGUGAUGAUGGCCUGAUAAUUGCAUUUCCAAAUAUGAGGGAUUUAACAGUGGAAACUUGAAAGGCAGUUGCUUGUAAGUUCAUACUUCUUG